UACGGGGGGGGCAAGCGUUGUUCGGAAUUACUGGGCGUAAAGGGCGCGUAGGCGGCCUUCUAAGUCGGACGUGAAAUCCCUCGGCUUAACCGAGGAACUGCGUCCGAUACUGAAAGGCUUGAAUCCGGGAGAGGGAUGUGGAAUUCCAGGUGUAGCGGUGAAAUGCGUAGAUAUCAGGAGGAAUACCUAUGGCGAAAGCAGGUAUCUGGGCCACAACUGACGCUGAGCUGCGAAAGCUAGGGGAGCAAACAGG
RNAcentral lists this ribosomal RNA (253 nucleotides) under uncultured bacterium. RNAcentral's name for it is "partial 16S ribosomal RNA". It matches the Rfam family "Bacterial small subunit ribosomal RNA", at positions 524 to 776 of the family's 1533-position model. The record is from RNAcentral.